Molecule: ribosomal RNA, 439 nt
Filed under: uncultured Comamonadaceae bacterium
Lineage: Bacteria; Pseudomonadati; Pseudomonadota; Betaproteobacteria; Burkholderiales; Comamonadaceae
Description: bacterial SSU rRNA
Rfam family: Bacterial small subunit ribosomal RNA
Source: RNAcentral
ACAUACGCGUAGAGUUUGAUCAUGGCUCAGAUUGAACGCUGGCGGCAUGCCUUACACAUGCAAGUCGAACGGUAACAGGUUAAGCUGACGAGUGGCGAACGGGUGAGUAAUAUAUCGGAACGUGCCCAGUAGUGGGGGAUAGCCCGGCGAAAGCCGGAUUAAUACCGCAUACGACCUACGGGUGAAAGGGGGGAUCGCAAGACCUCUCGCUAUCGAGCGGCCGAUAUCAGAUUAGCUAGUUGGUGGGGUAAAUGCUCAGCCAAAGGCGACGAUCUGUAGCUGGUCUGAGAGGACGACCAGCCACACUGGGACUGAGACACGGCCCAGACUCCUACGGGAGGCAGCAGUGGGGAAUUUUGGACAAUGGACGCAAGUCUGAUCCAGCCAUGCCGCGUGCGGGAAGAAGGCCUUCGGGUUGUAAACCGCUUUUGUCAGGGAA